Molecule: ribosomal RNA, 433 nt
Filed under: uncultured bacterium
Lineage: Bacteria
Description: partial 16S ribosomal RNA
Rfam family: Bacterial small subunit ribosomal RNA
Source: RNAcentral
AACGAACGCUGGCGGCAUGCCUAACACAUGCAAGUCGAACGAGACCUUCGGGUCUAGUGGCGCACGGGUGCGUAACGCGUGGGAACCUGCCCUUAGGUUCGGAAUAACUCCCCGAAAGGGGUGCUAAUACCGGAUAAUGUCUUCGGACCAAAGAUUUAUCGCCUUUGGAUGGGCCCGCGUUGGAUUAGCUAGUUGGUAGGGUAAACGCCUACCAAGGCGACGAUCCAUAGCUGGUCUGAGAGGAUGAUCAGCCACACUGGGACUGAGACACGGCCCAGACUCAUACGGGAGGCAGCAGUGGGGAAUAUUGGAAAAUGGGCGAAAGCCUGAUCCAGCAAGGCCGCGUGAGUGAUGAAGGCCUUAGGGUUGUAAAGCUCUUUUACCCGGGAUGAUAAUGACAGUACCGGGAGAAUAAGCUCCGGCUAACUCCGUG